This 310-nucleotide unclassified non-coding RNA is filed under the name Hevea brasiliensis (rubber tree). Lineage: Eukaryota; Viridiplantae; Streptophyta; Magnoliopsida; Malpighiales; Euphorbiaceae. The record is from RNAcentral.
AGUUACUGAGCUGACAGUACUGCUAUAUAAUGCAGAGAGAGAGAGUUUUUGUAAAUCCAUCCAGAUUCUUUUCAAGAAAUAAUAUUUUUCCUCUCAUUCUCUAUUCUCUGAUCUUUCUCAAUUGUUUCUGCAUCUUCUAACUUCCUUCAAUUCUUCUCAAUUCUCUUUAAUUGCUCUAUUAUGGUUCCAAAAGCCUAGCAAAUUAUUAAAAUAACAUGUGAAAGGCCGCAUCACUAUUUCUCCUAAGAGUUUGAUGGAACAGGAUGUGAGGGUUUUGUGAGAUCAAAGUAGAAAUUCAAUGUGUUUUAAG